CGACGGGCGCAUUGCCGACGGGUAAAACGCACGUGGGACACGGGGCGGCUUUGCGGUUGUGUCAACAGUUGGCCUUCACGUGGCCCCCCCUCUCGCCCGUCUCCACCGCCGCCGAACACGCGCCACCUCACGGAGCGUCUGUUCAUUCCGUGUGGCUAUUGCUGAAGCACGGCACAGAGUUUCACCUGGAGCUGAUUGAUCACUGGGGCCUCCGUGGCCGUGAUGCGGUUGUCAGGUUCAGGAGUGCGUUUGGCCACGCAAGGACAUAUCACUAUUUCACCGCGGCCCUUACGAGCCGAGGGAAACGCCGACCUCGAUAUAAAGCGAACGGAGGAAUAUCCCCUUCAAUCUCGAGCAUGAUGGCUGAAGAGGCCAAUCCGAGCCCGGAAUUCCCUGUGGCACACUGGACAGGUCAGGGAGGAUGUAGAGCUCUGAGGUGCAGCCACACGUCCUUCCUUGGUAGAUUUGCGCUGCUGCCUCUUCAAGAUGGCACAGGAGCGUCUCCUACUCUCACAGAGGACUGCACCGUCCUGUACUUUUCUUCUCCAGGCAGGUCGGUCCUGUGCUAGGGAUUGCAUCAUGAAAACUUGAAAGCAAAUAUAGCGGGGCAGAGGAUGACACGCCGCUAGAAGGGACGAUGACAGAUGGUCGAGACCAAUGAAGGAGUGCAAGUCAAGGGCACGAACGCGCCUUGAGAGAACAUCUACCAGGGUGGGAUUGAGCGAUGACACCGGCUGGCGAUGAAACUGACUGGGGGCAUUCAUCCAGCAGUGGAUUGAUCGUGGCUGCCGACGAUGACUGCCUUAACGAAGCCGAGUAAAAUGAGGUGAUUCGCUCGUGCGCAUUUUUCAGAGAUGCUUUCUCUUUUUUUUUACCGACGCACUCCGGACCGAAACACUCGAAUGCAGAUCCUAGUAAAUCCAGAUGACUCAGACAUUUUUAUUACAUCAUACGUUCAUAAUAAAGGUUGCUGAAAGGCCACAAUUGAGUUGUGGGAAAGAAUAACACUGAUCACGAGGCUAUUGUGCAAGGAGGAUUAUGGCAAAACAUCAAAAACAUUGCCCGUGCGUUUGCCAAAUCAAAACCACGAUCUGGGGCUCUUUGCAUUCGGCCAUCGCCGCAAUAGUGUGUGCAUAGUCUGGCUGCCAAACCUCAACGACACCCAUGAGUCCCCGCACAGUAAAUUUCAAGGGACACGCACACACACACAGAUGACACAGAUGAUGACACACGGACACGUACAGGAGAUGUGCCAUUGUUGUUGUUGUUUAGGCAUGUUGGUUAUCAUCAGCCAUCAUGAUCAAUCCGCUGCUGAAUCAAGGCCUCUCGGCUGUCGCCAUCUCUCAUUACCGCUAAGUAACAAUUUACCGAGCGUCUGCGCGCCAGAUGAAUCCUCUGCUCCAACUCCUCGGUAGUAAUCUGUCAAGCUGUCAAGAGGCAUUCAUUCAUUCAUUCACACACGAGUGUAGUGAGCGACUUACGAGACACGGCGUGUAGAGGGCUUCUUCUUAUUUAUUCUCACACUGGGCACAACACAGGCCGAUACACGUAUAUACACGUCUCCUCUCACUGGGCACAAUACUGGGUAAUAUAUAUAUAUAGUCUCGACUUUAGCUACGCACAGCCGACCUCUCUACAUCGUCCCAUCGCCUACAUCAAACCACACGGCUGACUGACUGGUGUGACGAUGACGGCGAUGGGUGCCGUGCGGAGGAUCUUCCAUGCGGCCGGUCGACGGAGAGAGAUGACGGCGAGCAGUGACGCAGCCAGGAUCCAGGACCCCGCAAUAACAACCCUGAACCUGCGGUUCCAUCCCCCUUAUAUACCUCUCGGCGUGGCCAAGCCCCGCCUCUGGCCACGCCCCUUUCCAGAACCUUCGAGCAGAUUCCCGGAGCUUCCCGACUAACCCCACUGUUUACCUUUAACCCAGAUACACCCCCUUCUGAUUGGUUGUUACAUAACCUUGCCCAUACCCGUGAUUACCCUUCCAGAUCGACAGGUGGCACCUUGUCAUUACACAUGCAUAUAAAUCUCGAUUCAAAACUCGUUUCUUUAGAACUGACUUUUGUGUUUCAGCUUCGCUUCCAUUUAUCAUCCACAUGCCAUGACAAUAAUUGAAUAAUGGGCCAGAAGUACAUAUGGACUACAUUUGGAAUCCCAUCACCCGGGCGAUCUGCUCCAUUGUCGAGAGAUGGAGACAAUCUGCGCGAUUUUGCCAAACGUCGACGAGAAGGGGGCAUCCAGCACCUCCGAUUUAGCACGGUUGGCUAUGUACGGUGGUGCGAAAGAAGUUCAACACACGUACGUACGUACGUACAUUUACCAGCACGUGAAUCUGACCCAGUAACUAUAAUCAGAAGCAUCGCUCUCCGAUGGACUUUUUUUCGGUUGAAGGCGCUCCCUGGAGUGGAAAUGUCCAUGUGGCCCGAAAACUGAUUCAGAGAGAUUGCGCAACACCAUCGCGGCCACCGACGUGGUAAUUAUAAUCAGUGGCAUGAGGCUAUUCCCAAACGAGAGGUGUAACGAUGCAUAUAGAUGUCUUCAUUGAUAUUUAGAGUUCAACCCAAAGCCCACUGGGUUGACUCAAGAGAGUAGCGUGCUGGAUGAGCACCGAUAAAUACCCCUGGGGUUUGUUGAAGUCAGUAAAAUUUGCCCGUGAUUGAACCGGGCUCGGCCAAGGACAGCAAGAUACUGGGUCUCAGCCUGGUCACCAAAUGCCCGCACAAAAUCGACGUCACGUAACAUUUUUUGGUUGCGCACUUACUUUUUUUGCUGAAUCUGACGCUGAUAAUUAAACAUGUCAGGUUUAAGCCUCACGUGCCAGACCUUUACGUCUCUGUGGCAGGGCGGGUGGGAAAUUGCUGCCCCAUAAUGUGGAUAAGAGGUCGCUUAAAGAGAUUUCAGAAACUGUUCUGUGGCAUCCAGUUCUGCGGACCUCUCUCUAACACGGGGCGAUGUACUCCUCUGAACGAGUGCCUUCAUGGAUUCUCGUGACGCGAUGCCAACUGCACGCUCGGGAAAAAUAAUUAGAGGAAAGUGCAAAUUUAUGUUUACAAAAUAAUGAUUAAGCUCGUGAUGCAAUGCAUCAAAGCACUUGAGUAAGAAUGUAUAUCGUUUGAUUCAUGUAGGUUGUGUGUCACAACAUUAAUGACCUCUGCAUCCACGAGUGGCCACCAUAUCCCCCGCCAUGCAGUCACAACUCUAUUCCGAAUCAUGAUGCUGGGCAGAGAGAGAGAGAGUCUUCACUGCAAGUUGACAAUUAGUAAAUGUAAAAACAUGUUCAAAUGAUGAUCGUGUAAUCUCCAACUAUAAAGUAUAUCAAAUUCUCAGCGCGCGCUUUCUCUCUCUCUGUGAAGAAUAUCCAUUGCUUGAAAUGUAAUCCUCCUCUGUUCCUCUUG
Molecule: long non-coding RNA, 3398 nt
Organism: Lethenteron reissneri (Far Eastern brook lamprey)
Lineage: Eukaryota; Metazoa; Chordata; Hyperoartia; Petromyzontiformes; Petromyzontidae
Source: RefSeq, a predicted model, not a curated record